AGAGUCGGCUGAGCAGUCACUGUUCUAUUGUAAGGAUAGAAGAGAGGAAAGUCCGGGCUCCACUGGGCAGGGUGCCAGGUAAUGCCUGGGAGGCGUGAGCCUACGGCAAGUGCCACAGAAAAUAUACCGCCAAUCUAUGAUUGGUAAGGGUGAAAAGGUGCGGUAAGAGCGCACCGCGCAACUGGUAACAGGUGUGGCAGGGUAAACCCCACCCGGAGCAAGAUCAAAUAGGGGGACAGACGCGUGGCCCGCGCGGUUCCCGGGUAGAUUGCUUGAGCUGUAGGGUGACCUACAGCCUAGAUGAAUGACUGUUCUCGACAGAACCCGGCUUAUAGGCCGACUCUUUUU
This 348-nucleotide RNase P RNA is filed under the name Methylococcaceae bacterium. RNAcentral describes it as "RNase P RNA component class A". It matches the Rfam family "Bacterial RNase P class A". From Rfam's summary of the family: Ribonuclease P (RNase P) is a ubiquitous endoribonuclease, found in archaea, bacteria and eukarya as well as chloroplasts and mitochondria. Its best characterised activity is the generation of mature 5'-ends of tRNAs by cleaving the 5'-leader elements of precursor-tRNAs. Lineage: Bacteria; Pseudomonadati; Pseudomonadota; Gammaproteobacteria; Methylococcales; Methylococcaceae. The record is from RNAcentral.